Molecule: long non-coding RNA, 831 nt
Filed under: Nicotiana benthamiana
Lineage: Eukaryota; Viridiplantae; Streptophyta; Magnoliopsida; Solanales; Solanaceae
Description: long non-coding RNA (NBEN_LNC027914)
Source: RNAcentral
GAGCUUAAAACAGUUGGCGGAGAAUUUACUUGGACAAACAACAUGUACAUAGCAGAAUAGAUAGAGCUUUAGUAAAUGCUAGAUGGAUGAUUGACAUGACACAUUUGAGGUGGUACUUCAUGAUCCUUUCUUCUCUGAUCAUACUCCAAUAUGCUUGUACUUUGAAAAAGACCAACAACCACCUUCAAAACCUUUCAAAUUCUUCAAUAGCCUAGCACAUCAUAAGGAUUUCCAAGCCUAGUCAAGGAAACAUGGGAAUUUAACAUGCAGAUAUCUGUUAUGCAAAGAAUUUAGAAGAAGCUGAAGUUGUGAAACAAGUAUUGAAGAAGUUAAAUGUUGAAGAGUACAGUAGAAUACCUGAAAAGUUUCAAGCUGCUAGAGACAAACUGCAAAAAUUACAAAUGGAAAUGAGAACACCAUAACUCAGAGGAAUUAAAAGAGCACUGAAAAAGAUUCAGAAGCCAAACUGGAGAAAUGAGUAAUGGUGGAGGAAAGUAUCCGCAAGAGAAGUCAAGAAUUUAGUAGUUAAAGCUAGGUAAUUCAAACUCAGCUUUCUUCCAUGCAAGUAUCAAGAAUAGAAAUACUCAAAAGAAGAUCAAUAGACUUCUCACCCAGACAGGAACAUAUACUCAAACUUAGGAAGAGGUGCAAAAAAGAUAACUCAGUUCUAUAAGUAGCUUCCAGGAUCAUAAGUAAAGGUAAUUCCAGCUAUAGAACCUGAGGUAUUGAAGAGGGAAAAUGUGAUGAUAAGAAGCCAACAGUUGAAGCUAAUAGCACAUGUUUCAAAAGAACAUGUCUUCUAGGCUUUGCAAAGUAUAGAUGUCUCUAAAG